Molecule: transfer RNA, 77 nt
Filed under: Halocynthia hilgendorfi ssp. n. KRK-2020
Lineage: Eukaryota; Metazoa; Chordata; Ascidiacea; Stolidobranchia; Pyuridae
Description: tRNA-Asp
Source: RNAcentral
GGGGUACUAGAAUAGGGUGAGUAAGUAAUUCGAGUCGUUGUCGAUGGCUAGAACCACAAAUUAAUGUGGGUGCCCUU